Molecule: transfer RNA, 81 nt
Filed under: Nocardia arthritidis
Lineage: Bacteria; Bacillati; Actinomycetota; Actinomycetes; Mycobacteriales; Nocardiaceae
Description: tRNA-Tyr
Rfam family: tRNA
About the family: Transfer RNA (tRNA) molecules are approximately 80 nucleotides in length. Their secondary structure includes four short double-helical elements and three loops (D, anti-codon, and T loops). Further hydrogen bonds mediate the characteristic L-shaped molecular structure. tRNAs have two regions of fundamental functional importance: the anti-codon, which is responsible for specific mRNA codon recognition, and the 3' end, to which the tRNAs corresponding amino acid is attached (by aminoacyl-tRNA synthetases). tRNAs cope with the degeneracy of the genetic code in two manners: having more than one tRNA (with a specific anti-codon) for a particular amino acid; and 'wobble' base-pairing, i.e. permitting non-standard base-pairing at the 3rd anti-codon position.
Source: RNAcentral
GGGGCGGCGCCGACGUGGGAGAGUCGGGCUCGGCUGUAAACCGAGUGCGUGUCUGAGCGGGUUCGAAUCCCGCCCGCCCCA